UGGAAAUGAAAGUAAUUUUUCACAGGCUGGAUGACACUUGUUUUAUCAUGAAUCUUAAAAUCCCUCAUAUUUGCUUGAAGCAGUUUUGAAGUUGUCAUAGUAACAGCAUGAUAUUCGGAGGGUCCUUUUAGUAGUUCUUUAGCUCGAGUUAAUUAAUUUUAUUAACUCUGGAUGUUUUUUCUUUUUAUUCUUCUCUGACAAACAAAGGCCAUAAUUGCUCAAAUAUGUAUUUCGUGUUCUUUAUUUCUUGGUGACUGUAGUUCGAGGACUUGUUGUUUUGCAGGUUGUUUCAGGAGAGAAACAAGAAUGUUAUCAGUUGGUUUCAGAUAAGUUAAACUUGAGUUUUUAAUUACUUCUCUGUAAAAUUGCACCACCACUGUAAGACCAGAAUUUGGUUUUAUUUAAAGAGUUGGAUUAUAGGAAAUGUUCUCUCAAAUUUAAUGGUGACUUACACAGUUAAAUUAUGUUACAAGUAUUCUCUCUCUCUCUCUUUUUUUUUUUUUAAUUCUUCUACAUCAAGAAUAAGAAUUGAGGAAUAGAGAAGGGAAAUGUGUCAGACUGCCAGGGGAAAAUUAUUUCUUUAAAAAUGUAACACUCAGAUACAAUAUCAAAAUCAUUUCCACAAGAGAAAAAGAAAUGAGUAAAUCUUGACUUUAUCAAAAUUAAAAGUGCAACAAUGCUUUCUGAAAUUCUAAAAUAUGCCAACAUAAAUUAUCCUCUAGGGAAGUUUGUGGGAAUUUUUUAUUGGGGGAAAGUAGGUCAAGAUCUUCUAUUAGAAAAGCUCUGUGGCAGAAAUUCUUGCCAGUAUGGCGAUUGGUGAGAAAGGAAGCCCUUCUCUUGGGCAGGGAGAGGGUCUGAAGAAAAAAUAGUCUGUAUGAGGUCUGGAUGCAGGGACUUAAAAAAGUAUCAGAUGUUCAGUGCUUUUGUUUUCUUAGAAAAGUGAUCAGAGAGAUGUGGCACUUAUAAAAGGGACCACGUGAGUUCUGUGGGUUUAAUGCUAACACCAGUAUCCCUACUGUCGUGUGAAGUAUUUGUUCAACCAGGGGCGAUUCAAGAAGGUCGGGGUAGCAGCGUGUGCAGCCAACAGCAGUGAAGGUGCUAAUACACGUCCAGUGAUGUCAGGAGUUACGAGACAGAGGUUUCAAAAUACUGCGGUAAACAAGGUCAAAGUGUCCCAUUUUGCUGGAAGAAGGUUUGUUUUUAUGAGCUGAACAGUACAUGGAUGAAGUAAGUUUUCAAAACAAACAUCAAAUUUGGGUUUUAAAAAAUGAACCCGAUGAGAUUUAGUAAGGGGUUACAUUUUUAAGCAAAAUUAUACUUUUUUCCUUUUUUUUUUUUUUUAAAUUGAUUCUCUACAGCGAGACAGGACAAAUGCCGGUCACCAGUAAAAUACCUCUUUUAAUUUUGUGCCCUCCGCUCUUUCUUAAGGCUAAAUUUAAGUGCAAGAAAGUUAAUGGCACAGAAUACUGCUGACUGUGUGGUUCCUGUCUUUAUGCAUUUUCCAACCUUGAACCUGAGAAUGCCAGAGGCUCGCGUCUCUGGACACUCGUCUGAGUGGUUAUCUGCUGGUGGCCUGGUUCCUGAGGUAACAAGUGGGUGUCCCAGGCGUGCGUGUGGUAACAACAGCAGUGGUGCCACGUGGCGCCCAGAGGUUGCCUGGGUCUGAACUGGGGAUUCCUUGUCCUCGAUGAAGCCUCUGAGAUGAACUGUGAACUUGGGGCAUCCGAGAGGCGCAGGCAUUUAGGAGUCCUGCAGCAAACCUGGACCCGAGUGUAAACACAGCUUCCAAAGCGAAAGCAGGGGCCUUGAGGAAAGGAGUUUUACCCUCAUCUCGCUCGCGACCAGCUUACUGUGCUGGAAAACAAAGUAAGUGUUGUUUAUUUCUUUGUUAGUCAGUCUCUCCUACAUGUUUUUUCUUGCUAACAUUAUUAGACACUCAAUAUCUGGCAAAUGCCAAGUUGUUUUUUUUUUUUUUUUUUUUUUUUUUUUUUUCUUUCCCCUUCAUCGGGAAGCAGGAGAUGAAGUUUGUUCAAUAGCUAAUUGCUUCUUUUAUCUUUUCGAUCUCUCUUCCUGCAUCUAAUGUGCUGGCUGGCUUGUUAGAGAUAGUAAGAGACUGAAAUUUAUUAUCAAUGAGAAAACAAAAAAGUUCUCUUUUUCUCCCCCCUCUUUUUAAAUGGUUCAAGAACUUAGCAUUAAUUAAAUGACAGUGACACAGACAAGGCUGUUUAUGUGGUGCGGCCAGGAGCGCAUCUAGCAGAAUAGCCCCGCUUCACUUGCCCUCAUUUCCACUGGAAGCAGGAAGGGCACACGACAGGUAUGGAGACGGGGAGUCUCCACGUGGAAACUGCAGGCACUAGAUGGGAAUGGCUCUUGGACAAGAGGCUGUAAUUUUAAAACCUGUCAGGAAAUGGGAAGGACCCAAAGAAUACAAGUUAUUUAAUGAUGUUGGGGAAAAAAUUUAAUAUAAAAAAUGGGUUAAAAUAGAUAAAGACCUAACCUCAUCAACAGGAACUGAACUUUUUUUUCUUUCAGGUUAGAAAGUUUCCUCCCUUGCAGAUUUAUAGAAAAUACAUUUAAUAACUUAACAAAAUUAGGAAGAGGCUUUAUCACCUACACAGAAGACUUGUCUGUGACAUCAGCCUGCUUCUGACACUUGGUUCUUGUCUUCCACUUUUGUUUUGUUUUGUUUUUCAUGCUGAUCCUGUCUCCAGAGAUGUUAUGCGGCUUGAUAAAUUUUGAAUACAAGGUUCUGUGGUUUGGAAAAUGCAAAACAAGUGGAAAUGCAGAAUGGUUUGUAAUUUGUAAUUAAACUAACCUUUCUGCAGUAAAAGGGACUGCGUUUACAGUAGCGUUUUCUCAGCUUUCAGCAGUGACACUUUGAAGGUAGAAGGGGACAGCAUGGCUGUAGUGUGGCGUUUGGAAAGCAGAAGUCAGGGAUCUUCUGAAUCCAGUAUGGAAUACCGUGUGAAUUUAAGCCAGGGCUUCUGUGCCGUGGGAACGCACGCUUUAUCUCAGAGUGGUGAUGAUGGAACUUGAGGUGGCUGCACUUCGUUUGAAACACUCCGGGCUCCCUCUCUGAAGGUCUGUGAAUUAUUAAUUCAGCAAACAUCUUUAAGCACCUUCUUUUUGUAUGGCGUUGUGCGCAGACCUGUAGUUUUUCACAAUUAAAUUGACAGAGAUUCGGUUUGCAAAUCAGAGAUUGAGAACAGUUUGAAACAAGGGCGAGUGAGCAGAGAGCAUUACCAUCGAAACGGUUUGUUAAAGAUGGUGCCAAGUGAGCAGGGCUGUCCCCUUCUGAGCUGCCCCUCCUAAUUAAAGGGGAAGGUGGCUGCCAUCUGUUUUCUUUCAUUCAAGGCAGUAGGGGGUCUAGGGUGGAAGGAAGCAACCCCCCCUCUUAUUUUUCUCCCACUCUUUUUUUUAAAGUCGGCUUUCUCCCUAGUCAGUGACCCAGAAGGUCAUUGAUGAUCUGUCUAUCUCAGAAUGAAUAGUAACAUAAGCAUGCAAGGCACUU
This 3511-nucleotide long non-coding RNA is filed under the name Sus scrofa (pig). RNAcentral describes it as "lncRNA (ENSSSCG00050049986.1)". Lineage: Eukaryota; Metazoa; Chordata; Mammalia; Artiodactyla; Suidae. The record is from RNAcentral.